UUAGUAUUCCUCCGUCCGAAAUUACUUGUCGUACGAAUAUAUAAAAAUAGAUGUAUAUAAAACUAAAAUACAUCUAGAUACAUCCAUUCAUAUGGCAAGCAUUUUCGGAUGGAGGGAGUAGUUU
Hordeum vulgare subsp. vulgare (domesticated barley) is the source of this 124-nucleotide non-coding RNA. The record is from Rfam. NCBI's taxonomy places the organism in Eukaryota, Viridiplantae, Streptophyta, Magnoliopsida, Poales, Poaceae.